This 401-nucleotide ribosomal RNA is filed under the name uncultured bacterium. RNAcentral describes it as "partial 16S ribosomal RNA". It matches the Rfam family "Bacterial small subunit ribosomal RNA", at positions 359 to 776 of the family's 1533-position model. The record is from RNAcentral.
GAAUAUUGCACAAUGGGCGCAAGCCUGAUGCAGCAACGCCGCGUGCCCGAGGACGGCCUUCGGGUUGUAAAGGGCUUUUCUGGCUGACGAGGAAGGGCGGUAGGCCAGGAAUAAGCGUCGGCUAACUACGUGCCAGCAGCCGCGGUAAAACGUAGGACGCGAGCGUUAUCCGGAUUUACUGGGCGUAAAGCGCGGGCAGGCGGUGGUCCAAGUCGGACGUGAAAGCUCCCGGCUCAACUGGGAGAGGUCGUUCGAAACUGGGCCGCUAGAGGGCAGUAGAGGGGCGUGGAAUUCCGGGUGGAGUGGUGAAAUGCGUAGAGAUCCGGAGGAACACCAGAGGCGAAGGCGGCGCCCUGGGCUGCACCUGACGCUGAGCCGCGAAAGCUAGGGGAGCGAACGGG